This 505-nucleotide ribosomal RNA is filed under the name uncultured Geobacter sp. Its description in RNAcentral is "bacterial SSU rRNA". It matches the Rfam family "Bacterial small subunit ribosomal RNA", at positions 335 to 831 of the family's 1533-position model. Lineage: Bacteria; Pseudomonadati; Thermodesulfobacteriota; Desulfuromonadia; Geobacterales; Geobacteraceae. The record is from RNAcentral.
ACUCCUACGGGAGGCAGCAGUGGGGAAUUUUGCGCAAUGGGGGAAACCCUGACGCAGCAACGCCGCGUGAGUGAUGAAGGCCCUUGGGUCGUAAAGCUCUGACAGAGGGAAAGAAGUGUAGAGUGGCUAAUAUCCACAUUACUUGACGGUACCCUCAAAGGAAGCACCGGCUAACUCCGUGCCAGCAGCCGCGGUAAUACGGGGGGUGCAAGCGUUGUUCGGAUUUAUUGGGCGUAAAGCGCGUGUAGGCGGUUUUAUAAGUCUGAUGUGAAAGCCCUGGGCUCAACCCGGGAAGUGCAUUGGAUACUGUAAGACUUGAAUACGGGAGAGGGCAGUGGAAUUCCUAGUGUAGGAGUGAAAUCCGUAGAUAUUAGGAGGAACACCGGUGGCGAAGGCGGCUGCCUGGACCGAUAUUGACGCUGAGACGCGAAAGCGUGGGUAGCAAACAGGAUUAGAUGCCCUGGUAGUCCACGCCGUAAACGAUGAGAACUAGGUGUCGCGGGUA